CGCGGCCUAUCAGCUUGUUGGUGAGGUAACGGCUCACCAAGGCGAUGACGGGUAGCUGGCGUGAGAGCGCGACCAGCCACACUGGGACUGAGACACGGCCCAGACUCCUACGGGAGGCAGCAGUUAGGAAUAUUCCACAAUGGGGGCAACCCUGAUGGAGCGACGCUGCGUGAAGGAUGAAGCCUUUCGGGGUGUAAACUUCUUUUCUUGGGGAACAAGUUCUGAGUUAACCCAAGGAAUAAGUGGCAGCUAAUCACGUGCCAGCAGCUGCGGUAAUACGUGAGCCACAAACGCUAACCGGAAUUAUUGGGCGUAAAGGGUCCGUAGGGGGAUGAGUAAGUAGUAUGUAACAGGCAUAGGCUCAACUUAUGUUUUGCGUACUAAACUGCUCGUCUAGAGGAUGCUAGGGGCUGGCGGAAUUUCCGGAGUAGGGGUAAUAUCCGUAGAUACCGGAAGGAACACCAAUAGCGAAGGCAGCCAGCUGGAGCAUUCCUGACCCUCAGGGACGAAAGCGUGGGUAGCGAACAGGAUUAGAUACCCUGGUAGUCCACGCCGUAAACGAUGGAUACUAGGCGUGUGCGACAUCGACCUCGUGCGUGCCGAAGCUAACGCGUUAAGUAUCCCGCCUGGGGAGUACGGA
RNAcentral lists this ribosomal RNA (640 nucleotides) under uncultured bacterium. RNAcentral describes it as "bacterial SSU rRNA". It matches the Rfam family "Bacterial small subunit ribosomal RNA", at positions 232 to 886 of the family's 1533-position model. The record is from RNAcentral.